UACGUAGGGUGCGAGCGUUAAUCGGAAUUACUGGGCGUAAAGUGUGCGCAGGUGGCCGCGCAAGUCGAGUGUGAAAUCCCCGAGCUUAACUUGGGAAUUGCGCUCGAAACUACGUGGCUCGAGUGUGGCAGAGGAAGGUGGAAUUCCACGUGUAGCGGUGAAAUGCGCAGAUAUCAGGAGGAACACCCAUAGCGAAGGCAGCUCGCUGGGACGGUACUGACGCUGAGGUGCGAAAUCGUGGGGAGCAAACAGG
Molecule: ribosomal RNA, 253 nt
Filed under: uncultured bacterium
Lineage: Bacteria
Description: partial 16S ribosomal RNA
Rfam family: Bacterial small subunit ribosomal RNA
Source: RNAcentral